GAUGAACGCUGGCGGCGUGCCUAAUACAUGCAAGCCGAGCGAACGGACGAGAAGCUUGCUUCUCUGAUGUUAGCGGCGGACGGGUGAGUAACACGUGGAUAACCUACCUAUAAGACUGGGAUAACUUCGGGAAACCGGAGCUAAUACCGGAUAAUAUUUUGAACCGCAUGGUUCAAAAGUGAAAGACGGUCUUGCUGUCACUUAUAGAUGGAUCCGCGCUGCAUUAGCUAGUUGGUAAGGUAACGGCUUACCAAGGCAACGAUGCAUAGCCGACCUGAGAGGGUGAUCGGCCACACUGGAACUGAGACACGGUCCAGACUCCUACGGGAGGCAGCAGUAGGGAAUCUUCCGCAAUGGGCGAAAGCCUGACGGAGCAACGCCGCGUGAGUGAUGAAGGUCUUCGGAUCGUAAAACUCUGUUAUUAGGGAAGAACAUAUGUGUAAGUAACUGUGCACAUCUUGACGGUACCUAAGCAGAAAGCCACGGCUAACUACGU
This 496-nucleotide ribosomal RNA is filed under the name uncultured bacterium. RNAcentral's name for it is "partial 16S ribosomal RNA". It matches the Rfam family "Bacterial small subunit ribosomal RNA", at positions 28 to 506 of the family's 1533-position model. The record is from RNAcentral.